Molecule: long non-coding RNA, 484 nt
Organism: Wasmannia auropunctata (little fire ant)
Lineage: Eukaryota; Metazoa; Arthropoda; Insecta; Hymenoptera; Formicidae
Exons: 3
Source: RefSeq, a predicted model, not a curated record
UCCAGACUUGCGACAUCCAGUGUAUCCAGUAGAUAGUCGCCAGAAAGUUACAUCAGGGAAAAACUGCUGAACUUGUGGACUUAAAAUUUUUAAGAUUUUCGAAACAAAACUAAUCGUUUUUUGUUUAUAAUUAACAAGUGCUCCACCCAUUACAUAUAUUCAUAAUUUUGUACUUAUUCAUACGACUAUUGGCUAUUACUGAUUGAAUUAAACAUGAAUUAAAAAAUGAGAACUAAUAAAAGAAAGAAAAAGAGAAAGGUAUAAUCACAGUGAAUAAUCGAACAUCGAGACAGUCACGGAUUACAAUUAUUGGCAUUUCGUACGAUAUACUAUACCAUGCGGAUUGUUAGACAAAUAGUUGUUUACGUGUGCAUUGGUUUUGGGUACGCUCAAAUUAGUAAUGAUUGUGGGCUACAAAGAUUUCGAUGCCAUAAUGGACAAUGUAUAACUGGCAAAUUACUAUGGAUCGGCAGAGCAGAUUGCA